Non-coding RNA from Punica granatum (pomegranate), 4829 nucleotides. The record is from RefSeq and is a predicted model, not a curated record. NCBI's taxonomy places the organism in Eukaryota, Viridiplantae, Streptophyta, Magnoliopsida, Myrtales, Lythraceae.
UCAUCGUCGCCUCUCCUCCCCUCAGCUCACCUCACCUGAGAUUUCAAAAUUCAAUCAGACCGUUGUCCAAAAUCUGCAGUGCAUAUCGCGAAUUUGGGGUUUGAAGCUCUGCCUCUAGCGUUGAGUCCCAGUCUCAGUCUCUGUGUCUCCCAGUCCCAGUCCCAGUCCUCUCCUCUCCCUCCCCUUGUAGCGUGCGGCAAAGGCAAUUCGAAACGAUCACCUACUCUCCAUGGCAAUCGAAGGGAGAAGAGCUCACCUCCGCCUUGGAGAGACCGAGGAUCGGGAAACUGAUAGGCCACUAUCGCAACCGGGGCCAAGAGCUCCGAAUCCCUUUCUAUCGCUCUCAGGUACUCCCAUCAAGCACAACCCCAAGCCCAAGCCUUCUCUAGCCACAACCAGCAGCCCGUCAGCUUCUGUCCGCAGAGUCAGAAAGAUUCUGGUUGACAUAACUACCAAGAUCGUUGAAAACGACUGCUCUGACAUCCCUACUGCCCAGAAGAUACUGAACCACAUUGAAUCUGUGGAGAAGGAGUUCAUGGAUGAGCUGAAAAAUCUAAAGAACAAACCGAGUGCUAAGAAGGCGGAGCGAGAAAAGAAAGUCCGCAUUUUAAUGUCAAUGCGUUAGUGAACCGCUCACAGCUAUUGGAUACCGGAGGGAAAACUGUGACGUGAGAGAGAUUGGAAAUUGAUUGAGGUGAACGUACCCAAGACAAAGAGGACCUACUACAAGAGCAAGGAGUGCAGGAAACACACCUCCGGCCGGAGCUCUCCCCUCCCCCGAGCAGCACCUUGCCAAACGAAAGGGCUCACGCGGGAAGCCCCAUGAGCAACUAUAGCAUUCCCAUUUUUUCCACUCAACGGAGUUACGAAGGCGAUAAAUGUGAAACAAGUUAACUUCUGCCACCAUCUCUCGUCUCUCAUCUCCAGUGUUGCGUGCGGCAGCAAGAAGAGACGAUCACCUACUCACCAUGCUAAGUAACUAAACCAGGGCUCUCUGCAUCUCUCUCUUUCUUUUUCCUCAAUUUUCGGAUGGUAUUGUAUUGCUGCUUCAGGAAGAUCAAUCAAUUCCAGGAUUCGAAUCUUCUUCACGUUGGAACUUGAUAGUAAACAAGUAGAGGAAUGCAGUAUCACUGCCCUUUUUUUUUUUUGGGAGUCGGUCUCUAAUCGAUCUAGUUCACAAUAGCAGAAAUCAGGGUUUAGGAUAGGAAGGCAACGUAAAAUUUUGCAACAAGCUUUUAGGAGGCUAGGAUUGGUUUGUGUAAUAUUGGUGGUUAACUAGCUAGCUUCUGCUGGUAUCUGUUUGUAGUGCUGCUGCAUCUUCUGUCCUAGUUAGUAUUUUUGCAUUAUCUUAUUAUCCCAUACUAUUGAUCGGGGAGACUGGGAGGGAUAACUGUGACAGAAGUUGAAAUUGAUUGAGGGAAGCAUACUCUUUUUCGGUAGACAAAAUCAGUGUUUGAGCUGCUUUGACCCGAGGGAAUUGAUUGCUUUUACUGACUCUCUGCACAUUGCAUUGCAUUUACAACCACGGUUGGUUGGAACAGCAGGACUUUAGGGUUUUGUCUGCUGUUGUAAACAUGGUAUGUGCUCAGUCACUAACAUUACCUGUUUUACUCAUGGUAAUAAAUCUCGCCCUGUACUAAAUCUUUACUAGUUGAACAAAUUCUAAGGAAAGUUUGUAAUGAUGUGUAUCUGCUUAUAGUAUGUAGAGCGUCCGCUGAUAAUGAUUAUGCUCUUUUGGAAUACACUUGUACUUUCAAUUGUAUGCAGCUUUUCGCAGAAUAUAGAGAGUCCGCUGUUAAUAAUCUGCUCUUUUGCAUAAUAAUAAAGUCCCCCUUAAGCAGCAUCAAACGUUCCAUUUAGAUUCACCUUCUCCCUCCGUGUUUCUCUGAGGAAAAGCUCACCUUUAACUUGCUCCUGCAAAGCCAUUUUCAGCAGUCACUGAGUUUAGUUCACUGCGUAAUUAGUGUUCUUAAGCAUCAUUUCCUUCUGGCUGAUGGUGAUGUUUGGUCAAAAUCAGAACCUUUUGGUGUUCUGGUUGAAAAGUAUAAAAUCUUUCAAAGGGGGUUCAUCGUUACAGGUACUGUUACAAGGAAGCAAUGCAUCUUUUGAAGUUUCGUGAUCAUGCUUUGAUAGUAAUAGCAAGAAUAUGUGCUUGACACUGAAAGGAUAAUCAUCAUGCUGCUGAUAUUUGGUCAAAAUGGAAACUUUUCAAUAAACUCACUGAAAUGCCAUAGUCUUUUCAAUGGUGUUCAACGUUUGGAGACUUGAUACAUGAUUUGGAUAGUUUCAUUUAAAUGGAAUCAGAACCUUUCUUUCUAGGUCCAUAAUCAUGUUAUGAAGUCAACAAUGAGUAUUUGACGCUGAGAGGGUAACUGUCUCCUUCUUUUCUUUUUCUCCAUGAUAGGUAAACCAGAGUAUCUGCCUUUGCUAGAUGAGUUCUUUCAAGUGUGAUUCGUUCUGUGUACAUGAAACCGAAUUUCUAUGGAUUAAUUGAAAAACUUCAGUUUGACGGCUUACUUAUCUGUGGAAUUUCAUAAUAUACUUCUCCAUUCACAUUCUAAUUAUGGAAUUGAUUUGAAAGAUAGAGAUAUUGAUUCUAUAUAUCUCUGCCCCGAGAAACAUUCGUAAACCAUAUUGUGUGUGUAAAAUGCCGGAUUCUUUUGGAUUCUCCCCUUUAAACAAAAAAAGAAGGAAAAAGAAGAGACUGAAUGUUGGUUCUUAUGCUGCUGAGAAUUUCAAUGCCAUCUGCAAAAGAAUUUAAAGUCAGAAGCAUGAGCUUCAGUUAAUUGAAUAACUAGCUAUUUUCUUCAUUAGUUACGAUUUACAUGACAGUUGGCAACCCAGUUCCUGGCUGUUAGUAGAGGUCGGGAACAAAAGUGGUUUUUAACUUUUUCCAUUUCGGUGGUAUUAUUUGUUUUGUUCAUCAAUAUCACUGCCAUAUCGAGGUAUGAUUUUUCUUUCAUCAUUUGCUCAUUCAUCAUUGUAUAUAAUACAUGUAUAUUCAUAUUUUAGAGCAGGUCAUUACGCAAUGCCAGUUGAGAAUUGGCAGGAACCCAGUGAAAUGCGAGUCUUAGUUUAUUAUUCUCGAUCACAUGCUGUCAACUUCUCUCCGCAGCUAAUUGAACUUUACUUAAUGCCAGUUAUUGCUCUAAGGCCGACUCAUGUAGUAGCAUACUCUGGCUAAAUAGAUUGGACAUGUGAGGCAUGAAACCUAGAUCACGUUGUGAUAUUGAAGUAGUUUAUAUGUAGAUCCUGUGAGGAUGGAUGGAUGGUUUAAAAACCUAGGAGAUGAAGAGUCACGGUUAGGUGACCUCCCCCUAUACUAAAAGGCAUUAUGCCUGAUUGAUCAGAUGUUAGUCAGGUCCCAUUAUAAAUAUUGUGGUUCUGUCCUAGAAUUUGCAUGUUUAAGGAUUAACUACCUCUGAUUGAAACUCCAUGGAUUUUAUGCAUCCUUGAUUUAUUGCCAUUUUCUCAAGCUAGAUAUUCGCGGACACUCAUUUGUUAUCUGUCAUUCCUCAAUUACCUCUAGAAUUCACAUUAGUUGCUUCUAUGGAUAUGGGCAGAAUGCUAAUUCGGUUUGGAAGCCAGCAAACUGAUGUCUGCUUGUAUUUGUUUCUGCUUUUGAUAUUGAUUGCUGCUAUAUUGAGCUUAAGCAUAUCUGUGGAGCGGCAUUACAGUAUCUUUGAAGGGGCAGAUAUAUGUUACGCCUUUCAAUUCCUUCUAUGUAUUCCUGGCAAAUACUGGUCGUUGUAGCGCACAGACUGUGGUGAAAAUAUAGGAUGUUCUUGCACUUCAUAAUUUUCUCAUACAACUCGUCAAGCUCCUGUUAAGUUUAUUGUUCUCAAUCACAUGCUGUGACUUCUCUCCUCCUCAGCUGAUUGAACUUUACUUGGUGACAGUUAUUACUGUAUGCCCAACUGCAAGACAUGUAGUAGCAUCAAAACUUAGAUGAUAUUGUGAUGUCGAAGUAGUUUAUAUAUAGAUCCUAUGAGGAUGGAUGGAUAGUUCGAAAACCUACGAGAUGAAGAAUCACAAUCAGGUGACCUAUACGAGAAGGUAAGUAUCUGAUGGAUCCGAUGUUGGUCAGGUUCCAUCAUAAUAGUACAGUUAUUGUCCUUGAAUUUGCAUGUUUACUUGAUUGACAGAAAAUUUAAGGAUUAAACACCUCUGAUUGAAACUCCAUGGAUUUUAUGCUUCCCUGAUAUAUUCGAUAUUCUCGGACACUCGUUUGUUAUCUUUCAUUCCAAAUUACCUCUGACUUCCCUCAUGCUAGUUGCUUGUAUGGAUAUGUGCAGAAUGCUAAUUCGGUGUGGAAGCCAGCAAACUGACGUCUGCUUGCAUUUGUUUCUGCUAUUGAUAGUUAUUGCUGCUAUGUUCUGCUUAAGCAUAUUCGUGAAUUGGCAUCCGCUUUACAUUAUCAUUAGAUAUCUGUUGUGCCAUGCCCAUCAAUUCCUCUUGUAUAUUCUGGCGAUACUGGUCGUUGUAGCACUGCUUGUGGUGAAAAUAUAGGAUGUCCUUGCAUUUAAAAAAAAAAAUUGUUUUAUAACAGCCAAGGUUUUAUUCAGGGCAGUACCUUAACUAAGAAUUUGCAGACAUAAGCUUGUGGCGAGAUAUAGGCUAGGACAACAACCAGCAAAUGCUCGGGCAGAGCUUGAAAGGACAGUAGGCGCAGGGCUUCACUGGCUUAAUGGAUGAGAGCAGUCGCUUCGUGACUUGGCGUCAUCUAUUUGUGUAUUAUACUCAAUGCUUUAGACUUUCUGAGAACGCCUUAGAUGUAUACUCGAACAAAGAAUAUUAUUGUGAUUAAAGAUGAAAAUGAUUACCUAAUA